AGCUGAGAGCCAGAAGGUAGGCUGUGAGCUCUGGUCCCUUCUCCAAAAGUACAUGGGGGAGCUGGCUGGGGCUCAAAAAUAUAUGUACAUAGCACUACAGGUGGAGGUCUGAUGGAACACUGGAAUGAAACCUGAUGGUGUUGAAGGAGAGCUCAAAUAGCAUGGUCUGUAAUGACUCAGGGGAACACAUUGUGACAGAACCCAAAAGGAAAACUGAGGUGAGGGACCACCUGCAGGGCUGCCCUGAGGCCAGGAGGGGUCACCCAGGAGGAGGCCAGGCGUUUACAACAGAACCAAAAGAAAUGUAUUCCCUGUUUUCAGGAAGAGGUGUAGGAACUGGGAAGGACUUGAAAAUAUCUACAAUCCUGUUUUGUCAUCACAAGUAAAGAGGAGAAAAACCUGCAGGAGAUGGAUGGAGUGGAGAAACCACACAGAAAUCUCCGGAAAGUUCCCCCCACUGAAGAGAACGUGCUGGGGAAACUCAAAGUGGAAGGGCUUAAGCGAUCAUGAAGAAGGAGCUGUGGGCAUGUGGGAUGAGCGCUUGAAACCAGCCAGAGCCACACUUUUUUGGGUGCUUAUGUUUCUAGAUGCCCCAUUUGAAACACCUAUGCAUGCAGAUACUACUGUGAUUGACUAGGAUCAUUUGUUUGAAGAAUCAAACACAGCAAGCUGAAUAUAAAAAAUUACAGUAACGUCUAAGUGCAACCUGCCUUAAGCAACUAUUCAAGAGCCAAGUGACAUUUAGUUGCCAAGUAAAGGUGGUUUUUAAUUACAGAUUGAACAAAUUGUACUGGAAACCUUAGUUUAAAGUGGUUGUUUAAGACAAGAGACUGCUGACUGAAUGGAGGCCUUUACUGUAACUAACACUUAAGUAAGGAGUGGUUUCCAGAAGAGUCAAAAGCAGUUGAUUUCAUUGUUCUUGGCUCACAUCUACUCCGCUUUAGUCUUGCGACUUUUAUGCUUUUGUAUGUAUGAUUAUUAGGAGAGAAAAAACACUCUAUCCUUCAAGUUUCAUUGUUUUCGAGUAUAGAUAAGUCCAACAACAUUAUUGUAAAUACCAGUCAUUCUUUUUAUUUUCCCCAUAAUUUUAUGUGACACUUCCAUAAAAAUAAUGGCAGUCUUAUCUGGAAUCUACUUGUAAACGCUGGAGAAAAUUCUAUAAAUAAUCCUGCAGUCCUCUCACUAUUGUAUAAACUCCCAUGAAUUUCCUGUGAGGGUUGAGUGCUUUGUAAAAGAGGCUGAUUGAACCAAAAACUCCUGGUUCCAUAUUACUGUCCCCCCCCCU
Long non-coding RNA from Mauremys mutica (yellowpond turtle), 1285 nucleotides. RefSeq lists it as uncharacterized. The transcript has 4 exons. The record is from RefSeq and is a predicted model, not a curated record. NCBI's taxonomy places the organism in Eukaryota, Metazoa, Chordata, Testudines, Geoemydidae.